UCUUCAGAUUCCCAUCAAGGUGCUGAGGGGUCACACAGAUGCUGUCACCGGCUGCCACUUCUGCUUUGACGACACCAAAGUCCUGACCAGUUCCCAGGACAAGACGGCCGCUCUGUGGGACACGGAGAGUGGCGCCGCGCUGUUGGUGUUUGAGAGAGGACAUCUGUCCAACAUCUCUGAGUGUGCCUUGAUCCCUGACAAGAAAAGGCUGAUUACUGCAUCAUGGGACAAGACCCUAAAUGCAUGGGACCUGGAGACUGGCAAGAUCAUUGUGAGUG
This is a long non-coding RNA of Oncorhynchus keta (chum salmon), 278 nucleotides long. RefSeq lists it as uncharacterized. The transcript has 3 exons. Lineage: Eukaryota; Metazoa; Chordata; Actinopteri; Salmoniformes; Salmonidae. The record is from RefSeq and is a predicted model, not a curated record.